CGGACGCCGCAAUAGCCCGCCGGAGCUAGGUUCGAUCCCCUCGACCGCCCGAUGCCGCCGGUGAGCUCACGCCUAGCUGGUGGUGGUAUUAGGUGAAUUUCUUGCGCUACCUUUUGCAUUCAUAAUCAGCAGGUUACCAUGACUGGCGACCAACUGCAGGUAUCACGCAGCUCUGCCAUCAUCCCUCCGAGCUGUGGUUUCCUUCAUUUUCAUACCUACUA
Molecule: long non-coding RNA, 221 nt
Organism: Setaria italica (foxtail millet)
Lineage: Eukaryota; Viridiplantae; Streptophyta; Magnoliopsida; Poales; Poaceae
Exons: 4
Source: RefSeq, a predicted model, not a curated record